UCUGCGGAUCUUUGUCCCCCAUCAGCCUGAACGAUGCACCCGCUCUGCCGGAAGGGCGUGAGGCUCUGCCAAAGCCUAACAAACGAAAUAGUCCAAAAAAGCUCGCGAAAACCGUAGGGCGACAAGGGACGUUGUUGAGGGCGGAAAAUGUGUCUGCUUCGAAGAGUACAUCGGCGGGCUAUUCCGAGUCGGCAAGGGCACGGAUCCAGACCUCAGAGGACAUUUGCAGAAGUGGCGUUCGCCGGCCUCGUAGCUGGGAUCAGAAAGUCGCGACCUCCCCCUGCAGUGGAGCAACUGCCUGUUCCCCACCUAUGUUUCAGACGCAGACUGGAAGCGGGAGACGAUCUCCCCCAAGCUCUGCGGCAGGACGGCGACGUCCAAUACUGACGGAUCCUCUCUGUACCCUUCCCCCUUCCCAAGCUUCUGGGAACCAACUUCCUGGAUCUUGGACCAGGAAGCCUCCG
RNAcentral lists this long non-coding RNA (464 nucleotides) under Spirodela polyrhiza (greater duckweed). RNAcentral describes it as "long non-coding RNA (SPOL_LNC000471)". The record is from RNAcentral. Lineage: Eukaryota; Viridiplantae; Streptophyta; Magnoliopsida; Alismatales; Araceae.